ACUCAAAGGAAUUGACGGGGGCCCGCACAAGCAGCGGAGCAUGUGGUUUAAUUCGAAGCAACGCGAAGAACCUUACCAGGUCUUGACAUCCAGUUAAACUUGUAGAGAUAUGAGGUCCCUUCGGGGGAACUGAGACAGGUGGUGCAUGGUUGUCGUCAGCUCGUGUCGUGAGAUGUUGGGUUAAGUCCCGCAACGAGCGCAACCCUUGCCAAUAGUUACUAACGAGUGAAGUCGAGGACUCUAUUGGGACCGCCGGGGACAACUCGGAGGAAGGUGGGGACGACGUCAAAUCAUCAUGCCCCUUACGACCUGGGCUACACACGUGCUACAAUGGCCGAGACAGAGAGCGGCGAAGGAGCGAUCUGGAGCGAAUCUCAAAAAAGCGGUCACAGUUCGGAUUGUGGGCUGCAACCCGCCCACAUGAAGCAGGAGUUGCUAGUAAUCGCGAAUCAGCAUGUCGCGGUGAAUACGUUCCCGGGCCUUGUACACACCGCCCGU
This 498-nucleotide ribosomal RNA is filed under the name uncultured bacterium. RNAcentral describes it as "bacterial SSU rRNA". It matches the Rfam family "Bacterial small subunit ribosomal RNA", at positions 899 to 1397 of the family's 1533-position model. The record is from RNAcentral.